RNAcentral lists this ribosomal RNA (460 nucleotides) under uncultured bacterium. RNAcentral's name for it is "partial 16S ribosomal RNA". It matches the Rfam family "Bacterial small subunit ribosomal RNA", at positions 338 to 795 of the family's 1533-position model. The record is from RNAcentral.
CCUACGGGUGGCAGCAGUGAGGAAUAUUGGUCAAUGGACGAAAGCCUGAACCAGCCAAGCCGCGUGCAGGAAGACGGUUCUAUGAAUUGUAAACCGCUUUUGUCGGAGAGUAAACGGCGGUACGUGUAUCUCACUGAGAGUAUCCUGCGAAUAAGGAUCGGCUAACUCCGUGCCAGCAGCCGGGGUAAUACGGAGGAUGCGAGCGUUAUCCGGAUUUAUUGGGUUUAAAGGGUGCGUAGGCGGGCGAGUAAGUUAGAGGUGAAAGUUAGAGGCUCAACCCCGGAAAAGCCUUUGAAACUGGUAGGCUAGAGUGGGGGUGCAGUAGGCGGAAUGUGUGGUGUAGCGGUGAAAUGCUUAGAGAUCACGCAGAACACCGAUUGCGAAGGCAGCAUACCAGGGUACAACUGACGUUGAGGCACGAAAGCGUGGGUAGCAAACAGGAUUAGAUACCCUUGUAGUC